GUUUGGUAUUCCCAUCUCUUGAAGAAUUUCCCACAGUUUCUUGUGAUCCACACAGUCAAAGGCUUUGGCACAGUCAAUAAAGCAGAAGUAGACAUUUUUCUGGAACUCUAUUGCUUUUUUGAUGAUCCAAUGGAUGUUUGCAAUUUGAUCUCUGGUUCCUUGGCCUUUUUUUUUUUUUUUGGGAAACCUUUUAUUUCAUUCUUAACAUGCUUCAGCUGGUUCCCCCCCGCAACGCCCCGCCCGCCACAAAGCAAUUUAAGUACAGCUAUAAAGACUUAGGAGCACUUUACUUUGGAACAAUCGGUAUUUCUGGAAAACUUCUGGCUGGGUCUUUGACAUUUUCAUUUUGGAAGGUUCAACGGGAACUGUGCAAGAUUUCACGCUACAGUCUAGCUUAGUAACACGGCUGUUCUAGAAGACAACACAUUUUAAGCAUCCACAACACAACCUGCCCCGAGAGUGUUUGCUGAUUACAUUAAUGAUCUGGGUGGUUACAGAGACUUUUGUGCUCAUUUAAUCCAGUUCCUCCUCUGGUGUGCACACUGACAGACACAGGUUCUGCACACACAGACGACCGUGAGAUCUUCCUUCCCGCUUACAGCCAGGGCGGUGGUUGACGCAGGCACUGGCUAGUAAGCCUCAGGAGUCUGGUGACGCCUAGGUCUAGGGUGAUCUGGAAUGGGAAGAGUUAACGGCCCACAAGUCCCCUCACCCGCUGGCUCCAGCCACAUUCCAGAGGGACAGAGCUCAGUGACAACGGCGCCCAGGACCUGAAGUGAAGAGGAGAGCCCUCUGAGAGCCCUCUAUUCUUCGCCAUCUCUCGAAUUAAUUAACUGGAAAUGAGUCUUGUCAAUGUUUUGGAAAGGCAGAAGGGGUGAAAAGCGAUUGCUAGAAUUAAUCACAGUGAGAAACCACUUCAGCCGCCUGCCAGAGCCCAGAAAACCCCACAAGAGGAGACAAUGAAGGGAAGGACAGAGUGGACCCGAGCACUUCCAAGUCUUUGCCAAAGAAGGGACAUGUGUUCAGCGAGAGGAAUUUAUUAUCUGCGGCCACAGGAAAUCAGAGGAGCAUUCCGAAGAUUAGGACCAUCUGACCACUGUGUCACAGGCAGUUUCUCCUUCUUUCAAGAAAGGUAUUGCUGCCUAGCAAAUAGCCUGCCUGCUAAACUGUUGGUUUCCUCCAUCCCAACUCAACUUGGAACACAGGCUCCAAGGAAUUUGUAAGUCUUCUCAGUUUAAACAUGCACUUUAACUUUUGUAAGUAUAAGUGAGUUUUCCUGUUUCACAUAUACUUACACAUUUAUUUCCUAGGUUGCCUUUGUAUCAAAAAAUAUAAGUACCAUUGUUCUAGUGUAUUGAAGUUCAUCCAGUUACUAAGAAAAGAUGAAAUGUGACUCAUUUUAGCCUUUGAAUUAAUUCUAACAAAUUUUGCACAAUGACUAAUGCACACAUAUCACCCAUUCAAUAUCUCUCACAUUAUGAAUGGGCAAAAAUGAAAAUAAAUCAAUGAAUGCUUAAAAGGCA
RNAcentral lists this long non-coding RNA (1523 nucleotides) under Bos indicus x Bos taurus (hybrid cattle). RNAcentral's name for it is "lncRNA (ENSBIXG00005011863.1)". The record is from RNAcentral. Lineage: Eukaryota; Metazoa; Chordata; Mammalia; Artiodactyla; Bovidae.